GUCCACGCCGUAAACGUUGGGCACUAGGUGUGGGGCUCUAUCGACGGGUUCCGUGCCGUAGCUAACGCAUUAAGUGCCCCGCCUGGGGAGUACGGCCGCAAGGCUAAAACUCAAAGGAAUUGACGGGGGCCCGCACAAGCGGCGGAGCAUGUGGCUUAAUUCGAUGCAACGCGAAGAACCUUACCUGGGGUUGAACUAUGUGGGAAAAGCCGUAGAGAUACGGUGUCCUUCGGGGUCCACGAUAGGUGGUGCAUGGCUGUCGU
RNAcentral lists this ribosomal RNA (263 nucleotides) under uncultured bacterium. RNAcentral describes it as "partial 16S ribosomal RNA". It matches the Rfam family "Bacterial small subunit ribosomal RNA", at positions 793 to 1055 of the family's 1533-position model. The record is from RNAcentral.